Molecule: long non-coding RNA, 753 nt
Organism: Oncorhynchus masou masou (cherry salmon)
Lineage: Eukaryota; Metazoa; Chordata; Actinopteri; Salmoniformes; Salmonidae
Exons: 3
Source: RefSeq, a predicted model, not a curated record
GGGUGAGUCCGGUUUAGGGAGAGGGAGGGGGAAAGAGAGCAGUGCGUGCACCAGAUUGCCGGUAUGAUUCCGGUGUAGAAUAAAAUGAGAAGCUUCUCGUCGUUUCUCUUGCCACUUUAUAGGAUAACGGUAUUUUACCGGCUGGAUUGGUGGAUAUGGGGGAGUUGAGCAUCAGUCACGCUGCGCAAUACGUGCUACGAUGAUUCGGAGACGGAGCGGCACUGCAACCGGUCUCUCGCUACGUCAAGGAGUGCGUGACUUCCAGCCUUCAUCUGUAUGGAAGGCUACGCGCAGCGUCAGGCGAGGCGUGUGGGUCCCCAGUGAAAAUGGAGAGGAGGAAGGAAACAAAACAAACCAAACUGAGAGCAGGCGGGGAGUAGACGUGUCACAUGACUGGAUUCUGAAAAAAUUUGAGGCAAAAAAGUGAGGGAAGAAGAGGAAGAACAAAAUUCACCAGGAGGGAGCAGCAAGAAAGCAAAACAAGGUGUCGCCCAUCUUCCUCUCUGUUUUUCUCCUCCUCCUGGUUGUGACCCUUGCCUCACCUGACUCUGUGUCCCCCUGCCUGACCGUUCUGCCCCUCCCUGAUCGAGCCUGCCUGCCGCUUUGUACUGUGUUGGACUUUGACAUGGUUAUGAACUCUUACCUGUCCCCGACCUGCCUUUUGCCUACACCUUGGAUUAUAAUAAAUAUCAGAGCUCAAACCAUCUGCCUCCCGUGUCUGCAUCUCGGUCUCGCUUUGUGUCGUUAUAUUUC